Long non-coding RNA from Solanum dulcamara, 425 nucleotides. RefSeq lists it as uncharacterized. Lineage: Eukaryota; Viridiplantae; Streptophyta; Magnoliopsida; Solanales; Solanaceae. The transcript is spliced from 2 exons. The record is from RefSeq and is a predicted model, not a curated record.
CCACACUUCUCACUCUCUAUCCUUAUCAUCAUCUUCUCCAAAGAGAAGAAAAACACCACCCAUGCUCCUCACCUUUCUGUUUUUUCCACACCCACUGCCCCUUUUUCUUUCUUCUUCCCCCAUACCUCUGUUUUCUACUUUCAUAUUUUCAAAAAAAAGAAGACCAGAGACGAUUGCCUUCAUUUUCUUCUCCUUUCACUUCACACAAGAUCCGCCUACCAUCAUCAUCGAAAAUUUCGCUCAAACAAUUGGUCAAAGACAAAGAAAAGAAGAAGCCAUAGAAGGGAAGUUGUUCGGAAGAUUGCAAAGAAAACAAUGCAGUUCUGGAGUUUUUUUUGGUUUAUUAACCUUGAACACAUAGAGAUAAUGAACAGAAUUGUAACCAUACCUUAAUGUUUUUAUUUUUCAAGUUUACAGUUUUGCGA